AGCGAACGUUAGCGGCGGGCCUAACACAUGCAAGUCGAACGCGAAAGGUCUUCGGACUGAGUAGAGUGGCGCACGGGUGAGUAACACGUAGGUAAUCUACCCUUUGGCGGGGGAUAACGUUCCGAAAGGAGCGCUAAUACCGCAUAAGACCACGGAGUCUCCGGACGCUGUGGGAAAAGGUGGCCUCUUCUUGAAAGCUAUCACCGAAGGAUGAGCCUGCGUCCCAUCAGCUAGUUGGUAAGGUAAUGGCUUACCAAGGCGAAGACGGGUAGCUGGUUUGAGAGAAUGAUCAGCCACACUGGCACUGGAACACGGGCCAGACUCCUACGGGAGGCAGCAGUGAGGAAUAUUGGGCAAUGGGCGAAAGCCUGACCCAGCCACGCCGCGUGAGUGAUGAAGGCACUCGGGUCGUAAAGCUCUGUGGAGAGGGACGAAAACCCUGGUUUCAAAUAGGCUCCAGGCUUGACGGUACCUCUUUAGCAAGCACCGGCUAACUCUGUGCCAG
Molecule: ribosomal RNA, 505 nt
Filed under: uncultured bacterium
Lineage: Bacteria
Description: bacterial SSU rRNA
Rfam family: Bacterial small subunit ribosomal RNA
Source: RNAcentral